Molecule: ribosomal RNA, 145 nt
Filed under: Fusarium acuminatum
Lineage: Eukaryota; Fungi; Ascomycota; Sordariomycetes; Hypocreales; Nectriaceae
Also listed under: 1 other name
Description: 5.8S ribosomal RNA
Rfam family: 5.8S ribosomal RNA
About the family: 5.8S ribosomal RNA (5.8S rRNA) is a component of the large subunit of the eukaryotic ribosome. It is transcribed by RNA polymerase I as part of the 45S precursor that also contains 18S and 28S rRNA.
Source: RNAcentral
ACGGAUCUCUUGGUUCUGGCAUCGAUGAAGAACGCAGCAAAAUGCGAUAAGUAAUGUGAAUUGCAGAAUUCAGUGAAUCAUCGAAUCUUUGAACGCACAUUGCGCCCGCUGGUAUUCCGGCGGGCAUGCCUGUUCGAGCGUCAUU